UUAAGCAUAUCAAUAAGCGGAGGAAAAGAAACUAACAAGUAUUCCCUCAGUAACGGCGAGCGAAGCGGGAAGAGCUCGAGCCUGAAAUCUCUGGCAGYUGCUGUCAGCGAAUUGUGGCCGGGAGAGGCAGCUUAAGCUCUGACUGGUGCUGUCGAAGUUGACCUGGAAAGGCACGUCCUAGAGGGUGAGAGCCCCGUGUGCGGCACCGCCGGGCAGAGCUGCUACUGUCUUCGGAGAGUCGGGUUGUUUGGGAAUGCAGCCCAAAGUGGGUGGUAAACUCCAUCUAAAGCUAAAUACUGGCACGAGACCGAUAGCAAACAAGUACCAUGAGGGAAAGGUGAAAAGCACUUUGAAAAGAGAGUCAAAAAGACCGCGAAACCGUUAGGAGGGAAACGAAUGCGGCUGAAUCGGCUCUGUUUCAGGCUCGGGAGACGACGGCGUUCACGUCGUUCUGGGUAAGCUUCGGCGGCCCGGGGCGGAUGAGGCGCCGUCUCCUCUGCAUUCCUGUAGAGAGCCGGCCAACGACGGUUGCUUCCGGCUCGGAAGGGCGGCCGGGUAGGUGGCUUCCUUCGGGAAGACCUUAUAGCCGGCCGUCUGGUAGACCGGAAGCGACCGAGGAGAGCUGCGGAUCUUCGCACGUGCAGUGCAAGCCCCUCGGGGCCGCGCCGCCUCUGUUCGUCUGGGCAUCGGGCCGUGGACUGCUUGCAGUGUUCGGUGACGACUGUCUGCUCGUGCGGGGGGUCGGUGACGUGUUGCGCUGCGGUCGUUGGUGCUCGAAUGGCUGCAUCCGACCCGUCUU
RNAcentral lists this ribosomal RNA (799 nucleotides) under Sphaerotylus antarcticus. RNAcentral's name for it is "eukaryotic LSU rRNA". It matches the Rfam family "Eukaryotic large subunit ribosomal RNA", at positions 34 to 655 of the family's 3401-position model. The record is from RNAcentral. Lineage: Eukaryota; Metazoa; Porifera; Demospongiae; Polymastiida; Polymastiidae.